This 538-nucleotide long non-coding RNA is filed under the name Coturnix japonica (Japanese quail). RNAcentral's name for it is "lncRNA (ENSCJPG00005013053.1)". Lineage: Eukaryota; Metazoa; Chordata; Aves; Galliformes; Phasianidae. The record is from RNAcentral.
CUGAAAUGAGUUUGAGAUUGAUGGUGUACUCUGUUGACCUUCAUGGGAAUGCCUACCAGGAGGUGGUGGGAGGCCAGACUUUUUUCUCAGCUGGACAAAUGUGUGUGGAUGAAGUUCGUUGUCUAGAGUCUACUGAAACCAGCUUAAAUAUUUUCUUGGAGGGUCCACGACUGUUGUGUGUUACAAAAGGUCAGAAGCAGAGACUUGAAAUUGCAUACUUUCUGCUUCCCCUAGUCCCGUUUCCUCUAUACAGUUUACAGCUCAACUGCUGCUUGUGUGUCUUGACCUCAUGAUGCCUUAGCAAAGGUCAGUCAAAUCCUGACUUGCAUGGAGAAUAUGACUAGAGAACUAUUACAGUUUCGUGCAAUACAGGAAAUGAGGAGGCAGCCCAGGAAACUGUGAGGUGGUGAACAGAAAGCAAAUGAAAAGAUACACUUCAUUCUCCACACUGUGCACAAUUAAACUUUUGAACUCAGAAUGCAUUCACACAGAGAAGUUCAAGAAGAGAUUUAAUAAAUUCUGAGAAGAAAAAUCUGCA